UACGGAGGGUGCGAGCGUUGUCCGGAAUCACUGGGCGUAAAGGGCGCGUAGGCGGCCUGAUGAGUAGGGGGUGAAAUCCUGCGGCUUAACCGCAGGGCUGCCUUCUAAACUGUCAGGCUAGAGCACGGUAGAGGCAGAUGGAAUUCCCGGUGUAGCGGUGGAAUGCGUAGAGAUCGGGAAGAACAUCAGUGGCGAAGGCGGUCUGCUGGGCCGUUGCUGACGCUGAGGCGCGACAGCGUGGGGAGCGAACAGG
RNAcentral lists this ribosomal RNA (253 nucleotides) under uncultured bacterium. RNAcentral describes it as "partial 16S ribosomal RNA". It matches the Rfam family "Bacterial small subunit ribosomal RNA", at positions 524 to 776 of the family's 1533-position model. The record is from RNAcentral.